Arabidopsis lyrata subsp. lyrata is the source of this 452-nucleotide long non-coding RNA. RefSeq lists it as uncharacterized. The transcript is spliced from 3 exons. Lineage: Eukaryota; Viridiplantae; Streptophyta; Magnoliopsida; Brassicales; Brassicaceae. The record is from RefSeq and is a predicted model, not a curated record.
UCAAACGCGAUUUGGACCAGUGUGUGUUCAAAGAGAGAUUGCGAGCAAACCCUUUUUCCAAUCGUCACGAAAUUUGUGGGUAGCUUCAGGACACCUAUGGGAAGCUUUUUAACUGUGGGAUUUGAAAUUGGACGGGUGAUUUGAGAUACUAUUGACGUGAGGAAGAAGUCAACUAUGGUUGUGUGGUGUUGUUAUUGUUCAAAAAUAAUCCCUAAGCUGAGGUAAAGAUAAAGUGUGAUCGUGGAAUCAUGGCGAGGAGAGGAGGAUGAUUUAGGGUCUCGUUGCUGUUAGUUUAUUAUUUUUAGUAUGAUGGAUUUUUGGAUUGGAAGUUGUUGGAAUUGUUAGAUAAUUUGUUGGUUUAUGUUGGUUAAAUUAUAAUAAGUUGAAUUUGGAUUUUUGAUUUGAGUUGUGUUGGUUUUGGCAUGAUUUUUAAUUGGGGAAAAUUAAUUAAU